GAGGCUUGCAGCGAGGCAAAUCCCGCUGCUUUCAGCCAAACGGUGAUGAGGAGGGAACUUAAGUACCGAAGCGCCUGAUCCUACACUGCCAAGAAAAGCCUCUAGCGAGUGAAACGGUGCCCGUACCAAAACCGACACAGGUAGGCAAGAAGAGAAUUCUAAGACGCUCGGGAGAACUCUCGUUAAGGAACUCGGCAAAAUCACCCCGUAACUUCGGGAGAAGGGGUGCUCGUCGGAUCUACGGAUCCGAUGAGCCGCAGUGAAAAGAUCCAAGCGACUGUUUACCAAAAACACAGGUUUCUGCUAAACCGUAAGGUGAUGUAUAGGGGCUGACACCUGCCCGGUGCUGGAAGGUUAAAAGGAGAGGUUAUCCUUCGGGAGAAGCUUUGAAUUGAAGCCCCAGUAAACGGCGGCCGUAACUAUAACGGUCCUAAGGUAGCGAAAUUCCUUGUCGGGUAAGUUCCGACCCGCACGAAAGGUGUAACGAUUUGGAUACUGUCUCAACGAGAGACCCGGUGAAAUUAUAGUACCUGUGAAGAUGCAGGUUACCCGCGACAGGACGGAAAGACCCCAUGGAGCUUUACUGCAGCUUGAUAUUGGAUGUGGGUAUCGUUUGUACAGGAUAGGCAGGAGCCUUUGAAACCGGACCGCUAGGUUCGGUGGAGGCAUCGGUGGGAUACUGCCCUGACGAUAUCGACAUUCUAACCCUGAACCGUGAUCCGGUUCGGAGACAGUGUCAGGUGGGCAGUUUGACUGGGGCGGUCGCCUCCUAAAAGGUAACGGAGGCGCCCAAAGGUUCCCUCAGAAUGGUUGGAAAUCAUUCGCAGAGUGUAAAGGCACAAGGGAGCUUGACUGCGAGACCUACAAGUCGAGCAGGGACGAAAGUCGGGCUUAGUGAUCCGGUGGCACCGCAUGGAAGGGCCAUCGCUCAACGGAUAAAAGCUACCCUGGGGAUAACAGGCUUAUCUCCCCCAAGAGUUCACAUCGACGGGGAGGUUUGGCACCUCGAUGUCGGCUCAUCGCAUCCUGGGGCUGAAGUAGGUCCCAAGGGUUGGGCUGUUCGCCCAUUAAAGCGGUACGCGAGCUGGGUUCAGAACGUCGUGAGACAGUUCGGUCCCUAUCCGUCGCGGGCGUAGGAAAUUUGAGAAGAGCUGUCCUUAGUACGAGAGGACCGGGAUGGACACACCGCUGGUGUACCAGUUGUUCCGCCAGGAGCAUACGCUGGGUAGCUA
Molecule: ribosomal RNA, 1232 nt
Filed under: Sporolactobacillus nakayamae
Lineage: Bacteria; Bacillati; Bacillota; Bacilli; Caryophanales; Sporolactobacillaceae
Description: bacterial LSU rRNA
Rfam family: Bacterial large subunit ribosomal RNA
Source: RNAcentral